GACGAACGCUGGCGGCGUGCUUAACACAUGCAAGUCGAGCGGAAAGGCCCUUCGGGGUACUCGAGCGGCGAACGGGUGGGUAACACGUGAGUAACACGCCCCAGACUUUGGGCUAACUCUCGGAUAAGGGCGCUAAUACCGGACAAGUAACAGAUUCGCAUGGGGUCUGUGUGGAAAGGUUUUCGGGAGGGUAUGGGCGUGCGGGCUAUGAGCUCGUUGGUGGGGAGUUGGUUGGCCAAGGCGAGGACGGGUAGCCGGCCAGCGAGGGCGAGAGGCCACACCGGGACUGAGACACGGCGCAGACGCGUACAGGAGGCAACAGUGGGGAAUAUUGCACAGUGGGCGGGAGCCGGAUGCAACGGCGCCGUGUGGGUUAUGACGGUCUUCGGGUUGUAAACCUCUUUCGGCUGGUACGUAGCGGAAUUGACGGUACCUGCAGAAGAAGCGCCGGCUAACUACGUG
This 462-nucleotide ribosomal RNA is filed under the name uncultured bacterium. Its description in RNAcentral is "partial 16S ribosomal RNA". It matches the Rfam family "Bacterial small subunit ribosomal RNA", at positions 28 to 507 of the family's 1533-position model. The record is from RNAcentral.